Tribolium castaneum (red flour beetle) is the source of this 1588-nucleotide long non-coding RNA. RefSeq lists it as uncharacterized. NCBI's taxonomy places the organism in Eukaryota, Metazoa, Arthropoda, Insecta, Coleoptera, Tenebrionidae. The transcript has 2 exons. The record is from RefSeq and is a predicted model, not a curated record.
AAAUCUGUCACAGUUAAGGAAAAAGGUCGAUAAAACACCUGUGGACUCACCUGGUUUGUAGGUUAGCCGUAAAUAUUCGCAAAACUGAAGCGUACGACGAGUGCGGACUGAACUUUAGUCUUAUCGGUGGAAAAAUGCGUUUUUUCUUAUCGCAAAAUAUUUAAAAAUCGUGGAAUUCUUAAACAAACGGCGGUCACUCGCCCAGUGGCGUGCGUCUCUACCCGUUUUAGAAAAAAAAAUCAAAAUGUGUCUGAACCGCGUUAUGUUAGUGCGAAUUAACUAGUUGUAAAAUAUGGUUAAAUGCGCCAGACGUGUGUGAUAGACGUCGCCUUUGAAUAGCAAAUAGGUUUUUAUAGCUUUGGCGUAAGAGGCACGUCUAUGGUCCGAUGAUUUAAAGGUUUUGAAUUUCAAUCUGAGCGGUCACGGUGGCUGUGCCUUGUGCGCGUGCUGACAUCUGCCCUCCGUUCGUAUGGCGACUGCGAUAAAGAGGAAUAUUUCAUUCCAGCAGGCACCUGUUGGUCAAGUUGGCGAACGUUCAACUUUUUCAUGUCCGACAUGCAGAUAAAAUAAUUAAGGACAAAUUUAAUCAACUUUCACUUCCACGAGCUAUUUAGAAAUUAUCAUUAUCUCGCGCAUACAGGAAAAAAUUAUUGCGAAUUGUGCGACCACAAAAUGUAUUCUUUUGCAACAACGGCAAUGACAUUAAAAUGGUGUAAAACUAUUUCGUUGGCAAUCAAGAGUGCAUAAACCACAUUCUUGAUCGUUUGCAUGCAAAUUGGCGGCCAUUUUGACAAUAAGUGUGUUUUUGUUUCGCACUUAAUGGCGCUCUCCUGCUGUCACUUGAGACUUCCUUUGUUUUUUCUACGCUUGCUACAUGGUGUGGUACCUUCCGGGUGUCAACGCAGUUCAAGUGGCAUAACAGCCGUUUUUUGCAACAAAAACAAUUGCAGUUAUAAUAAACUGAUUAAUACGUAAACAACGAUUGUUGCAAUAAUUAUAAAUGACGUCUCGUUUCGUAAAGAUGGUAAUUAUUGUUAUUAGCUGGAAAGGAUGUCUUUAAACAUAUACUUGAUGUACGGAACAUGCAUUAUUCGUCGGUGCAAGCGCUCUUUGAAGGGCACUAGGCACAGCAAAGGCCAAACGUCACACUUCACUUUCAAGACUUGCUCCAAUUCAGCACAUUCUCGAUCUCAUGGUACAUUUAGGUAAAAAAUUGAUCCAAUAAAAAAUACAAUUCUGUGUCUGUGUUUUUUUCUUGCAAGCUGUAUUUUUAUUAAGUUUAUAUUCUGUUGUUGUUUACUUUGAAUUAGCGAAAUUCAACAUAAAGGAAAAAUUUAAUGUCUCCUAAUCUACGACAAAAGUUAUGCCAAAAAUUUACUAUGGAAAGUAUUAUGUAAAUGAGCAUAAUAGUCCUAUAUCUAGGCAAUAAUAAUCAUCAAGGUUUGCACACAGAUAAGGUUUAAAUAAGUUUAAUUAUGUAACAAGUGAAAAUUUUAUUUACAAUAGCUAUUAAUAGCCGAAAUCAAAGGAAUAAUAAAAGUCAUAUUGUGCGACAUUUAAUAAAAACUAAACAAAAAAAGCAAAAAAA